GCUUGCUUGUUGGGGUUGUAGGACACUCUAUACGGAGUUACAAAGGACGACAUUAGACGAAUCAUCUGGAAAGAUGAAUCAAAGAAGGUAAUAAUCCUGUAGUCGAAAAUGUUGUCUCUCUUGAGUGGAUCCUGAGUACGACGGAGCACGUGAAAUUCCGUCGGAAUCUGGGAGGACCAUCUCCUAAGGCUAAAUACUCUCUAGUGACCGAUAGUGAACCAGUACCGUGAGGGAAAGGUGAAAAGCACCCCGGAAGGGGAGUGAAAUAGAACCUGAAACCGUGUGCUUACAAGUAGUCAGAGCCCGUUAAUGGGUGAUGGCGUGCCUUUUGUAGAAUGAACCGGCGAGUUACGAUUUGAUGCAAGGUUAAGCAGUAAAUGUGGAGCCGUAGCGAAAGCGAGUCUGAAUAGGGCGUUUAGUAUUUGGUCGUAGACCCGAAACCAGGUGAUCUACCCUUGGUCAGGUUGAAGUUCAGGUAACACUGAAUGGAGGACCGAACCGACUUACGUUGAAAAGUGAGCGGAUGAACUGAGGGUAGCGGAGAAAUUCCAAUCGAACCUGGAGAUAGCUGGUUCUCUCCGAAAUAGCUUUAGGGCUAGCCUCAAGUGAUGAUUAUUGGAGGUAGAGCACUGUUUGGACGAGGGGCCCCUCUCGGGUUACCGAAUUCAGACAAACUCCGAAUGCCAAUUAAUUUAACUUGGGAGUCAGAACAUGGGUGAUAAGGUCCGUGUUCGAAAGGGAAACAGCCCAGACCACCAGCUAAGGUCCCAAAAUAUAUGUUAAGUGGAAAAGGAUGUGGCGUUGCCCAGACAACUAGGAUGUUGGCUUAGAAGCAGCCAUCAUUUAAAGAGUGCGUAAUAGCUCACUAGUCGAGUGACACUGCGCCGAAAAUGUACCGGGGCUAAACAUAUUACCGAAGCUGUGGAUUGUCCUUUGGACAAUGGUAGGAGAGCGUUCUAAGGGCGUUGAAGCAUGAUCGUAAGGACAUGUGGAGCGCUUAGAAGUGAGAAUGCCGGUGUGAGUAGCGAAAGACGGGUGAGAAUCCCGUCCACCGAUUGACUAAGGUUUCCAGAGGAAGGCUCGUCCGCUCUGGGUUAGUCGGGUCCUAAGCUGAGGCCGACAGGCGUAGGCGAUGGAUAACAGGUUGAUAUUCCUGUACCACCUAUAAUCGUUUUAAUCGAUGGGGGGACGCAGUAGG
Molecule: ribosomal RNA, 1198 nt
Filed under: Staphylococcus aureus
Lineage: Bacteria; Bacillati; Bacillota; Bacilli; Caryophanales; Staphylococcaceae
Description: partial 23S ribosomal RNA
Rfam family: Bacterial large subunit ribosomal RNA
Source: RNAcentral